GCGUGCAGGACGAAGGCUUCGGGUUGUAAACUGCUUUUGUACGGAACGAAAAAGCCUUGGUUAAUACCCAGUGUCCAUGACGGUACCGUAAGAAUAAGCACCGGCUAACUACGUGCCAGCAGCCGCGGUAAUACGUAGGGUGCAAGCGUUAAUCGGAAUUACUGGGCGUAAAGCGUGCGCAGGCGGUUAUAUAAGACAGAUGUGAAAUCCCCGAGCUUAACUUGGGAACUGCAUUAGUGACUGUAUAGCUAGAGUACGGCAGAGGGGGAUGGAAUUCCGCGUGUAGCAGUGAAAUGCGUAGAUAUGCGGAGGAAUACCGAUGGCGAAGGCAGCCCCCUGGGAUAACACUGACGCUCAUGCACGAAAGCGUGGGGAGCAAACAGGAUUAGAUACCCUGGUAGUCCACAACCUAAACGAUGUCAACUAGUUGUCGGGUCUUCCUUGACCUUGCGUACCGCAGCUAACGCGUGAAGUUGAC
Molecule: ribosomal RNA, 478 nt
Filed under: uncultured bacterium
Lineage: Bacteria
Description: bacterial SSU rRNA
Rfam family: Bacterial small subunit ribosomal RNA
Source: RNAcentral